Molecule: non-coding RNA, 161 nt
Organism: Triticum aestivum (bread wheat)
Lineage: Eukaryota; Viridiplantae; Streptophyta; Magnoliopsida; Poales; Poaceae
Source: Rfam
AUACUUACCUGGACGGGGUCGACAGCCGAUCAUGAAGGGCUGUGGCCUAGGCUAGUGGGUCACAUUGCACUUAGUGGAUGCGCUGGCUUACCAUCUCCCCAAACGGGAGAGUGGACGUCAUAAUUUAUGGUAGAAGGGAUACGCGUUCGCGUGGCCCCUGC